UCCCUAGUGGCUCAGACGGUAAAGCAUCUGCCUGCAAUGUGGGAGACCUGGGUUCGAUCCCUGGGUCGGGAA
Molecule: transfer RNA, 72 nt
Filed under: Ovis aries (sheep)
Lineage: Eukaryota; Metazoa; Chordata; Mammalia; Artiodactyla; Bovidae
Rfam family: tRNA
About the family: Transfer RNA (tRNA) molecules are approximately 80 nucleotides in length. Their secondary structure includes four short double-helical elements and three loops (D, anti-codon, and T loops).
Source: Rfam by way of RNAcentral